This 326-nucleotide unclassified non-coding RNA is filed under the name soil metagenome. RNAcentral's name for it is "partial contains 5.8S ribosomal RNA, internal transcribed spacer 2, and large subunit ribosomal RNA". The stretch from base 1 to 120 matches the Rfam family "5.8S ribosomal RNA", at positions 35 to 154 of the family's 154-position model. The record is from RNAcentral.
GAUGAAGAACGCAGCGAAAUGCGACAAGUAAUGUGAAUUGCAGAAUUCCGUGAAUCAUCGAAUCUUUGAACGCACAUUGCGCCCCUUGGUAUUCCGAGGGGCAUGCCUGUUCGAGCGUCAUAUUAACCACUCCCGCUUGCGGGGUCUUGGGCUUCGCCUCCGGGCGGGCCUUAAAAUCAGUGGCGGUGCCGUCGGGCUCUACGCGUAGUAAAUUUUCUCGCGAUAGGGUCCCGGUGGAUGCUUGCCAACAACCCCCAACUUCUUAAGGUUGACCUCGGAUCAGGUAGGGAUACCCGCUGAACUUAAGCAUAUCAAUAAGCGGAGGA